RNAcentral lists this long non-coding RNA (258 nucleotides) under Dromaius novaehollandiae (emu). RNAcentral describes it as "lncRNA (ENSDNVG00000016597.1)". Lineage: Eukaryota; Metazoa; Chordata; Aves; Casuariiformes; Dromaiidae. The record is from RNAcentral.
AGAGGAACCGGCCCAGUGUUAGGGGAUUAAUUAAGAAACCCAUCUGUACAAGUGACUAAUCCCAUAUAUAUCAUCCACAGACCUGCACAGCUGGGAUCUCAUCGCUCCGGACUGGGGAGAAGGAGAAGGUGCCAUACCUAUCACACUGAGUGGAGGAGGACAAGGGGCUCUUGUUGCUUGAGGACUACAUUGGUAGAGCUUCGGAGCCGAACUGAGGAUUUAGAUUUUAUUUACUGGAGCAGAGCAUAUAAAAAUGCC